RNAcentral lists this ribosomal RNA (468 nucleotides) under uncultured bacterium. RNAcentral's name for it is "partial 16S ribosomal RNA". It matches the Rfam family "Bacterial small subunit ribosomal RNA", at positions 28 to 507 of the family's 1533-position model. The record is from RNAcentral.
GACGAACGCUGGCGGCGUGCUUAACACAUGCAAGUCGAACGGAAAGGCCCUGCUUUUGUGGGGUGCUCGAGUGGCGAACGGGUGAGUAACACGUGAGUAACCUGCCCUUGACUUUGGGAUAACUUCAGGAAACUGGGGCUAAUACCGGAUAGGAGCUCCUGCUGCAUGGUGGGGGUUGGAAAGUUUCGGCGGUUGGGGAUGGACUCGCGGCUUAUCAGCUUGUUGGUGGGGUAGUGGCUUACCAAGGCUUUGACGGGUAGCCGGCCUGAGAGGGUGACAGGCCACAUUGGGACUGAGAUACGGCCCAGACUCCUACGGGAGAUAGCAGUGGGGAAUAUUGCACAAUGGGCGGAAGCCUGAUGCAGCAACGCCGCGUGCGGGAUGACGGCCUUCGGGUUGUAAACCGCUUUCGCCUGUGACGAAGCGUGAGUGACGGUAAUGGGUAAAGAAGCACCGGCUAACUACGUG